This 440-nucleotide ribosomal RNA is filed under the name uncultured bacterium. RNAcentral describes it as "partial 16S ribosomal RNA". It matches the Rfam family "Bacterial small subunit ribosomal RNA", at positions 338 to 795 of the family's 1533-position model. The record is from RNAcentral.
CCUACGGGAGGCAGCAGUGGGGAAUAUUGCACAAUGGGGGAAACCCUGAUGCAGCGACGCCGCGUGAGUGAAGAAGUAAUUCGUUAUGGAAAACUCUAUCAGCAGGGAAGAAAAUGACGGUACCUGAGUAAUAAGCCCCGGCUAACUACGUGACAGUCGCCGCGGUAAUACGUAGGGGGCAAGCGUUAUCCGGAUUUACUGGGUGUAAAGGGAGCGUAGACGGCAGUGCAAGUCUGGAGUGAAAGGCGGGGGCUCAACCCACGGACUGCUCUGGAAACUGGAAGGCUGGAGUGCAGGAGAGGUAAGUGGAAUUCCUGGUGUAGCGGUGAAAUGCGUAGAUAUUAGGAGGAACACCAGUGGCGAAGGCGGCUUACUGGACUGUAACUGACGUUGAGGCUCGAAAGCGUGGGGAGCAAACAGGAUUAGAUACCCCAGUAGUC